AUUGAACGCUGGCGGCAGGCUUAACACAUGCAAGUCGAGCGGGGUGAUGGUGCUUGCACUAUCACUUAGCGGCGGACGGGUGAGUAAUGCUUAGGAAUCUGCCUAUUAGUGGGGGACAACAUCUCGAAAGGGAUGCUAAUACCGCAUACGUCCUACGGGAGAAAGCAGGGGAUCACUUGUGAACUUGCGCGAAUAGAUGAGCCUAAGUCGGAUUAGCUAGUUGGUGGGGUAAAGGCCUACCAAGGCGACGAUCUGUAGCGGGUCUGAGAGGAUGUUCCGCCACACUGGGACUGAGACACGGCCCAGACUCCUACGGGAGGCAGCAGUGGGGAAUAUUGGACAAUGGGGGGAACCCUGAUCCAGCCAUGCCGCGUGUGUGAAGAAGGCCUUAUGGUUGUAAAGCACUUUAAGCGAGGAGGAGGCUCUUUUGGUUAAUACCCAAGAUGAGUGGACGUUACUCGCAGAAUAAGCACCGGCUAACUCUGUGCCAGCAGCCGCCGUAA
Molecule: ribosomal RNA, 503 nt
Filed under: uncultured bacterium
Lineage: Bacteria
Description: partial 16S ribosomal RNA
Rfam family: Bacterial small subunit ribosomal RNA
Source: RNAcentral